ACUGAUACCAAAACCAACUUGAUGUCAUGCUCAUUCCAUAGAAAAUAACUACAGUAAAAUAAGAAUCCAAGCACCUUACAAAGUGAACCUUAAUUGAAACAAUAGCAAAAUUAAAAAUUUACUGCCAAAGUGUAAAAUAUCCUCAAUUGAAGUUACAUCAAAUUGAACAAGUUCAUUAAACACACACCACCACCACCACUACUACUACUACUACUAGUAGUUGCAUCCGUUACCAAUUUCAGUUGGAAUAUCAAAACUAAUCAAUACUCAAAGUUGUGCCAGCAUAUUCUGAAAAAGAAAAAAAGAUAACAUAUUAGGCCUUAAAGCUUUAGAAAUAUAAAAAAUAUAUUCAAAAGAGUUAAGUGUGUAAAUUUAUCCUUUUCAACUAUCUCAAGAUUCUGAAUUUCUUCUAAAAGAUCUUCAAGCUUGUAUUCUUUAUAAGUUGAUCUUAACUAUUGCUGAGUGCAAAUAAGAGCUUCUACUGUCUUCGGUGAUAAAGAACUUAGAUAAGAGUCAAGAAUUCGACCACCAGUGCUAAAAGCAAAUUCAGAUGCAACAAUAGAAAUAGGAAUAUAAAGAACAUCUCUUGCAAUUGUAGAGACAAUUGGAUAUCUAGCAGAUGAAAUUUUCCACCAAGCCAAAAUAUUUAAAUCGUUGGUCUUUUCCAAAUCAUCUACCAGGUACUUCUCAAGUUCAGAUUUAUUUUCAAUAUUGACUUUAUCUGCCAAAUAUUUCUUCCAUUGUGAUUGCCAUAUCUCGUCAUUGUCCAGGACAUCAAUUUCAUCCAUCAAGCUCGUUUGACCACCAGUUCUGUCACUAGAAGUCUCACAAAAAGAACUCUUGUAAUGGCCAUACAAGCGAGUCAAAGUAUCCAUCACCUUUUUGGACUGUUGGCCUCCCUCCAAACUACCAUAAGACUUGUUGAAAAGAAAUUCCACAUACUUUAACUUAUAUCGCGGAUCCAAAAUAAUAGCAACAAAUAAUAACUUGUUCAUACUCUCAAAAGUACCUCAAUAUUUUUUAAAUUUAACCUUCAUCUUCUCAGCCAUGCCACUCAAAAUAGAAUCUUCACUGUGACAAUAUUUUCGAAUAAAAUUCUGAAGAUUAAAGAUCUCAUGGAAAAAAGAAUUGAAAGUAAAAUAUGAAGUUUCUGAGAAUUUCAAAGUGACUUGGUAGAAUAUCUUAAGGAACUUAAUAAAAACUUUAACAUUCUUCCAAUCAUCCAUAGAUGGAUGUCCUCCCAUACUAUUCGUCUCUAAACAAUAUUUGAGGUACUUAUGAUCAUAAUCAUACAUUCUUGAAAAUGCCUUUUCAAACUUUACAGUUGUAUCUAGCAUCAUAUAUGUGGAGUUCCACCUAGUCUCAAUAUCUAAAGUCAAAAGACCACGAGUGUCAAUCUUAGCCUUCUCAACAAAUGACUUAAAAGAAUCAAACCUUCCAGCUGAGGACAUAACAUAUUUGACAGCAUUUCUUACUCAAGAAAUGGACUCAUUUUAUUUAGUUAGCCCUUCUUUUACGAUUAAAUUUAGAAUAUGAGCAUUGCAUCUAACAUGCAAGAACUCAUUUCCUUAGAUGCCUCACUUCCAAUCCUCAAUCCUUCUUUUAAGUGUUUAAUUGCAGCAUCAUUAGCUGUUGCAUUAUUUAGGUUCACCGUAAAUAUGUUCUCAAUCCCCCAGUCUAACAAGCAUGCUUCAAUCCCCUUAGCAAUUGUCUCACCUUUAUGAUCCGAUGUUUGAAAAAAGUUGAGAAUUUUCUUUUUAAAAUUCCAAUCAUCAUCAAUCUAAUGAGCAAUAAUAACCAUCUAAGUUAAAUUUUGAAGUGAUGUCCAUGUAUCACUAGUAAGACAUACACGUUGAUUCUGAAUAAGCUUUUUAAGCUUUUCUUUCUCUUCUUGAUAUAUUUUCAAACAUUGCCUAGCAACAGUCAGACGAGAAGGUAAUUGAAAUUUAGGCAAAGAAACUGCCAUUAAUCUCUUAAAACCUUCUCCUUCAACAAUUUUAAAAGGUUGUUCAUCGAUAAUGACAAACUCAGCAAUGGCUCUCAUAAUCUGAUUAACAUUAAACACAAUAUUUUCUAAAGUACAUUUGUUAUAUGCUUGUUUCCCUUUUCUAAUUGGCCUGAAUGUUGAUUUGUUUUUGUCAAUAAUUCUAAAGGGGGAUUUAGGACAAACCUCAUUUAAAUGCUUCCAUUUAGUUGAAGUUCCAUUCUUACUUUCAGAAGAAAAGUUUUUAGAACAGUAGUUGCAUUUCGCCCUAGGCAUAGCCCAUUUAUCAAGAUGUUUGGAAAAGUGCUUCCAAACUUUAAAUGUUUCCCUGCCACUACUCACAAGGCUACAAUCAGGGUCACAAGGAGUUGUUCUUUUAUGAUUCUUAGGAGGAUUAGGAAUAUUAUCAGGGGUGUUGUUAGCAUUAAGCUCAAGUUUCAACAAUGUAAUUGGAGAGACAUAGAAUGAGUAGGAAUUGAAAUGGAACAAAAAAUUCACAAGAUACGUAGUUGUUAAAAUUUUAGCCAAACAAAGGCCAAAAUUGAUUUCUAAAGCAAAAAGAAUCAGAGAGGGGUGCAAAGCAAAUAAAAAGCUAGUUUAGAGGAUAAUAACCACAAUCAAUUAAAAACCAAAAUACCCAAUUUUUCUGUUUUUCCCUUUGUCGCGUACAAGUUGAAAAAUAUAUUAAAAAGUUAAAAUUGGAGUAGUAGUUCUUACCGGGGUUGCCAUUAUUGACGGCAAGAACUAAGAACUUGACAUAGUAUUGUUCCUUUGCUGAAAAUUACGACUACCUUUGGCUUUCGUUGAUAUGAUAUUGACAAUUUGCUUUUCAACUAGGGUUUUGACUUUUCUUUUAACUCUAAAAACUGAAUUC
Molecule: long non-coding RNA, 2858 nt
Filed under: Nicotiana tabacum (common tobacco)
Lineage: Eukaryota; Viridiplantae; Streptophyta; Magnoliopsida; Solanales; Solanaceae
Description: long non-coding RNA (NTAB_LNC006776)
Source: RNAcentral